This 534-nucleotide ribosomal RNA is filed under the name Blastocystis sp. RNAcentral's name for it is "SSU rRNA". It matches the Rfam family "Eukaryotic small subunit ribosomal RNA", at positions 32 to 581 of the family's 1831-position model. The record is from RNAcentral. Lineage: Eukaryota; Bigyra; Opalinata; Blastocystidae.
UCGUCUCAAAGAUUAAGCCAUGCAUGUGUAAGUAUAAAUAUUCUACUUUGAAACUGCGAAUGGCUCAUUAUAUCAGUUAUAGUUUAUUUGAUGAAAUGUACUACUUGGAUAUCCGUAGUAAUUCUAGAGCUAAUACAUGAUCAUCUCCUCGACUUUGAAGAGGUGUAUUUAUUAGAAUGAAAACCAAUAGACUUUGUCUGUUUGUGAGUAAUAAUAACUUGUCAUAUCGCAUGCUUAUGUAGCGAUGUGUCUUUUAAGUUUCUGCUCUAUCAGCUUUCGAUGGUAGUGUAUUGGACUACCAUGGCAGUAACGGGUAACGAAGAAUUUGGGUUCGAUUUCGGAGAGGGAGCCUGAGAGAUGGCUACCACAUCCAAGGAAGGCAGCAGGCGCGUAAAUUACCCAAUCCUGACAUAGGGAGGUAGUGACAAUAAAUCACAAUGCGGGACUAUUUAGUUUUGCAAUUGGAUUGAGAACAAUGUACAAGAGUUAUCGAUAAACAAUUGGAGGGCAAGUCUGGUGCCAGCAGCCGCGGUA